AAUAAGCGCAACCAUGUGUUUAAUGUCUAACUUUGAUCGUCCGUUUUAUUUUAAAUUUUUUAUGAUUAGUAUUUUUAUUGUUAUUAGAUUAUAAAACACAAAUAGUACUUUAUGUGUGACUUAUGUUCUUUAGUUUUUUCAAAAAAUUUUUAAAUAAAACGGAUGAUUAAAGUUGGACACGGAAAUUCAUGGCUACGCUUAUU
Oryza barthii is the source of this 203-nucleotide non-coding RNA. The record is from Rfam. Lineage: Eukaryota; Viridiplantae; Streptophyta; Magnoliopsida; Poales; Poaceae.